AAUUUAAACACGGUGCCUGGACUAGACCAACAGAAUCCCAAAGGGAGGGGAGGAAAAGCCCGCACCAACACAUGCAGCUGCAAAAUUUACAAAAAGAAUGAAGGAAAGCCUGCUUGACUGCUCUUUGGAUCUUUCAGUGGGAAACAUUAAGGUCUGUUUGUAUUUUCUAUGGCACAUCAGAACUAGCCCUAGAGAAGAAAAAGAUCAGACCAGGCAGAGAGAUGGAACAGAAGCAGAAGCCAGCCGCAUGCCCAUUUGCCACUGCAGGCUGGCCCCGAACACCGACCCAAGCUACGAGGAAAGAGGAGAUUCAGCAGCAAGGCAGCUGAGAGUUCCAGGAAAUACACAGGAUUGGAAUUACCACAACUCUCAAAUUUCAGAGUCUCAAAUUUCGAAGUGAAGACUUAAGGCAAUGCAGGAAUGUCUGCUAUUUUCCUGUGAGCAAAAAAAAAAAAAUAUAUAUAUAUAUAUAUAUUAGCCUAUUGGUUUUUUUCCAGUCAGAGGGCAGAAAACAAAACUGCUUAAAGUUCAAAAGUUGCAUCGUGAUUAUCAUUCAAAUGUCAUCUGAUUUAUUCAGUCUGCACAUCACCCCCACCAACAACUCUGUCUCUUACUCUCUCUCUCUCUCCCUCUCUUUCUCUCUCUCUCACACACACACACACACACACACACACACACACACACACACAUUGAACUUAACUGGGAAUACAGAAAUAAAUAAGACAUAAACUCUACACAUAAGAAACUCCUUUAAGGGGCUGGGCACAGUGACUCACGCCUGUAAUCCCAACACCUGCACUUUGGGAGGCUGAGGUGGACGGAUCACCUGAGAUCAAGGGUUUGAGGCCAGCCUGGCCAAUAUGGUUAAAUCCCGUCUCUACUAAAAAUACAAAAAAUUAGCCAGUCGUGGUACCAUGUAAUUCCAACUACUCGGGAGGCUGAGGCAGGAGAAUCUCUUGAACUUGAGAGGCUGAGGUGGCAGUGAGCCGAGUUCACACCACUGCACUCCACCCUGGGCAACAGAUCGAGACUCCGUUUCAAAAAAAAAAAAAAAAAAAAACUGAUAAACUCAUUUUGGGAGGGGUCAAAUACACCCUUAUUGUACUUUGUACCAAUUACUGAGAUAGACCUCCGAGGAAAUGCCACGGGAGGCCAUGGGAGGCCAUGGGGGAGAGACUGGGCAAUGCAACACCCUAGAUCACAGAUUUUCCUGUCUU
Molecule: long non-coding RNA, 1217 nt
Filed under: Callithrix jacchus (white-tufted-ear marmoset)
Lineage: Eukaryota; Metazoa; Chordata; Mammalia; Primates; Cebidae
Description: lncRNA (ENSCJAG00000082640.1)
Source: RNAcentral